RNAcentral lists this ribosomal RNA (509 nucleotides) under uncultured bacterium. RNAcentral's name for it is "partial 16S ribosomal RNA". It matches the Rfam family "Bacterial small subunit ribosomal RNA", at positions 29 to 507 of the family's 1533-position model. The record is from RNAcentral.
ACGAACGCUGGCGGCGUGCUUAACACAUGCCGGUCGAACGCAGAGCGAUGGAAGCUUGCUUCUAUCAAUCUUAGUGGCGAACGGGUGAGUAACGCGUAAUCAACCUGCCCUUCAGAGGGGGACAACAGUUGGAAACGACUGCUAAUACCGCAUACGAUCUAACCUCGGCAUCGAGGAUAGAUGAAAGGUGGCCUCUACAUGUAAGCUAUCACUGAAGGAGGGGAUUGCGUCUGAUUAGCUAGUUGGAGGGGUAACGGCCCACCAAGGCGAUGAUCAGUAGCCGGUCUGAGAGGAUGAACGGCCACAUUGGGACUGAGACACGGCCCAGACUCCUACGGGAGGCAGCAGUGGGGAAUCUUCCGCAAUGGACGAAAGUCUGACGGAGCAACGCCGCGUGAGUGAUGACGGCCUUCGGGUUGUAAAGCUCUGUUAAUCGGGACGAAAGGCCUUCUUGCGAAUAGUGAGAAGGAUUGACGGUACCGGAAUAGAAAGCCACGGCUAACUACGUG